UACCAGCACCCCGAGUGGUCGGGACGUUUAUUGGGCCUAAAGCAUCCGUAGCCGGUUCUACAAGUCUUCCGUUAAAUCCAACUGCUUAACAGGUGGGCUGCGGAAGAUACUAUAGAGCUAGGAGGCGGGAGAGGCAAGCGGUACUCGAUGGGUAGGGGUAAAAUCUGUUGAUCCAUUGAAGACCACCAGUGGCGAAGGCGGCUUGCCAGAACGCGCUCGACGGUGAGGGAUGAAAGCUGGGGGAGCAAACCGG
This 253-nucleotide ribosomal RNA is filed under the name uncultured bacterium. RNAcentral describes it as "partial 16S ribosomal RNA". It matches the Rfam family "Archaeal small subunit ribosomal RNA", at positions 474 to 727 of the family's 1478-position model. The record is from RNAcentral.